RNAcentral lists this ribosomal RNA (852 nucleotides) under Candidatus Uzinura diaspidicola. RNAcentral describes it as "bacterial SSU rRNA". It matches the Rfam family "Bacterial small subunit ribosomal RNA", at positions 337 to 1188 of the family's 1533-position model. The record is from RNAcentral. Lineage: Bacteria; Pseudomonadati; Bacteroidota; Flavobacteriia; Flavobacteriales.
UUCUACGGAAGGUAGCACUGAGGAAUAUUGGUCAAUGGAGGAAACUCUGAACCAGCUAUGUCGCGUGCAGGAUGACUGCCUUUUGGGUUGUAAACUGCUUUUGUAUAGAAAUAAAAAUUCCUACGAGAUAGGKAUCUGAAGGUACUAUACGAAUAAGUGUCGGCUAAAUCCGUGCCAGCAGCCGCGGCAAUACGGAUGACACAAGCGUUAUUCGGAUUUAUUGGGUUUAAAGGGUGUGUAGGCUGUUUAUUAAGUCAGUAGUGAAAGCUUACAGCUUAACUGUAAAAUUGCUAUUGAUACUGGUAAGCUUGAGUAAGAUUGGAGCAUCUGGAAUGUAUGGUGUAGCGGUGAAAUGCAUAGAUAUCAUACAGAACACCGAUAGCGAAGGCAGGUUGCUAAAUCUUUACUGACGCUGAUUGCACGAAAGCGUGGGUAGCAAACAGGAUUAGAUACCCUGGUAGUCCACGCCCUAAACGAUGAUCACUAGCUAUUGGAAAAACGAUAUUCAGUGGCUUAGCGAAAGCGAUAAGUGAUCCACCUGGGAAGUACAGUCGCAAGAUUGAAACUCAAAGGAAUUGACGGGGGUUCGCACAAGCGGUGGAGCAUGUGGUUUAAUUCGAUGAUACGCGAGGAACCUUACCAAGGCUUAAAUGUAUUACGAAUAAGCUGGAAACAGCUUAGUCUAUACGACGUAUUACAAGGUGCUGCAUGGUUGUCUUCAGUUCGUGCUGUGAAGUGUUUGGUUAAGUCCUAUAACGAGCGCAACCCCUAUUGUUAGUUGCCAUCGGGUAAAGCCGGGAACUCUAACAAAACUGCCGGUGUAAACUGUGAGGAAGGUGGGGAUGAUGUCAA